GCAGUGGUUGCUCAGUGGUAGAACUCCCGCCUUCCCUGUGGGAGACCUGGGUUUGAUUCUCGGCCAAUGUA
Molecule: transfer RNA, 71 nt
Filed under: Loxodonta africana (African savanna elephant)
Lineage: Eukaryota; Metazoa; Chordata; Mammalia; Proboscidea; Elephantidae
Rfam family: tRNA
About the family: Transfer RNA (tRNA) molecules are approximately 80 nucleotides in length. Their secondary structure includes four short double-helical elements and three loops (D, anti-codon, and T loops). Further hydrogen bonds mediate the characteristic L-shaped molecular structure. tRNAs have two regions of fundamental functional importance: the anti-codon, which is responsible for specific mRNA codon recognition, and the 3' end, to which the tRNAs corresponding amino acid is attached (by aminoacyl-tRNA synthetases). tRNAs cope with the degeneracy of the genetic code in two manners: having more than one tRNA (with a specific anti-codon) for a particular amino acid; and 'wobble' base-pairing, i.e. permitting non-standard base-pairing at the 3rd anti-codon position.
Source: Rfam by way of RNAcentral